RNAcentral lists this ribosomal RNA (468 nucleotides) under uncultured bacterium. RNAcentral's name for it is "partial 16S ribosomal RNA". It matches the Rfam family "Bacterial small subunit ribosomal RNA", at positions 28 to 507 of the family's 1533-position model. The record is from RNAcentral.
GACGAACGCUGGCGGCGUGCUUAACACAUGCAAGUCGAACGGAAAGGCCCUGCUUUUGUGGGGUGCUCGAGUGGCGAACGGGUGAGUAACACGUGAGUAACCUGCCCUUGACUUUGGGAUAACUUCAGGAAACUGGGGCUAAUACCGGAUAGGAGCUCCUGCUGCAUGGUGGGGGUUGGAAAGUUUCGGCGGUUGGGGAUGGAUUCGCGGCUUAUCAGCUUGUUGGUGGGGUAGUGGCUUACCAAGGCUUUGACGGGUAGCCGGCCUGAGAGGGUGACCGGCCACAUUGGGACUGAGAUACGGCCCAGACUCCUACGGGAGGCAGCAGUGGGGAAUAUUGCACAAUGGGCGGAAGCCUGAUGCAGAAACGCCGCGUGCGGGAUGACGGCCUUCGGGUUGUAAAACGCAUUCGCCUGUGACGAAGCGUGAGUGACGGUAAUGGGUAAAGAAGCACCGGCUAACUACGUG